GACGAACGCUGGCGGCGUGCUUAACACAUGCAAGUCGAACGGAAAGGCCCUGCUUUUGUGGGGUGCUCGAGUGGCGAAGGGGUGAGUAACACGUGAGUAACCUGACCUUGACUUUGGGAUAACUUCAGGAAACUGGGGCUAAUACCGGAUAGGAGCUCCUGCUGCAUGGUGGGGGUUGGAAAGUUUCGGCGGUCGGGGAUGGACUGACGGCUUAUCAGCUUGUUGGUGGGGUAGAGGCACACCAAGGAGAUGACGGGUAGCUGGCCUGAGAGGGUGAUCAGCCACACUGGAACUGAGACACGGUCCAGACUACUAAGGGAGGAAGCAGGGGGGAAUAUUGGACAAUGGGCGCAAGCCUGAUCCAGCCAUACCGCGUGGGUGAAGAAGGCCUUCGGGUUGUAAAGCCCUUUUGUUGGGAAAGAAAAGCAGCAGGUUAAUACCCCGCUGGUCUGACGGUACCCAAAGAAUAAGCACCGGCUAACUUCGUG
This 488-nucleotide ribosomal RNA is filed under the name uncultured bacterium. RNAcentral's name for it is "partial 16S ribosomal RNA". It matches the Rfam family "Bacterial small subunit ribosomal RNA", at positions 28 to 507 of the family's 1533-position model. The record is from RNAcentral.